AUGGCCUGGACCCCUCCCCUGCUCACCCUCCUCACUCUCUGCACAGGCUCCGUGGUUUCCUCUGAGCUGAGUCAGGAGCCUGCAGUGUCUGUGGCCUUGGGAUAGACAGCCAGGAUCACCUGCCAGGGAGACAGCAUAGAAGACUCCGUUGUAAACUGGUACAAGCAGAAGCCAAGCCAGGCCCCUGGGCUGGUCAUCUAACUUAACAGUGUCCAGUCUUCAGGGAUUCCUAAGAAAUUCUCUGGCUCCAGCUCAGGGAACAUGGCCACCCUGACCAUCACUGGGAUUCAGGUUGAAGACAAGGCUGACUAUUACUGUCAGUCAUGGGACAGCAGUCGUACUCAUUC
Non-coding RNA from Homo sapiens (human), 347 nucleotides. The record is from the annotation of a RefSeq genome assembly. NCBI's taxonomy places the organism in Eukaryota, Metazoa, Chordata, Mammalia, Primates, Hominidae.